GUGUCUGUGUGUGUGUGUGUGUGUGUGCUCCUGCUCCUUGUUUGCCAUUCGCUUUGGUAAAUAAAAAGAGCUCAGCUCCUGCUCGGCAGGAGGAGGCAGUAGGGUGGAGGGCGAGGGAGGCCCCUGACGCAAGCAGUUCAACCAGCUGAGGCGGAAAGUACGCAUAAGCCCUGUCAGUGGCAUAGUUUCCGUGCUUCCUCCUCCACCUACGUUAAGCAUCUGGCUAGGGAUUAUUAUUUGCCAUAUUAUAAGAAAACGGUUUUAGUUCAAAUGUCAACAGCAUUUGUCAUGGGAGCAAUGCAAAAUGCACGGUCCGCGGUGAAACUGAAUGCAAAUUCUGAAUGUAAGAAUAAUGCGGUCGACAACGAUGGAUGGAUGGAUGAAUGGAUGGAUGGCUCCAAGCGCAGCUCUGGAGAGUCUAGACAGGGAGAUCUCCUAGCGGAGAUCCCUAAUUUACACCGCGGAUUAGCUUGAGUUUGUGCAGGCAAAUGAAUAGAAAUGGGAUUGAUUGAAUGCACAAACUUGCACAAGAAUUGGAGACAAAUUGAAUACAAUUUUGGAUAUACAGAAAUUCAAAGAAAUUCAAGCAAGAAACAUUCCUCUGGGAAGCACAAUGAACUACAAUUUUAAGUAAGGAUUAUCAAAAAUUCCCUAAAACUCGUGUCAAUUGUGAUUAAAUUCGUCUCAAACAGCUGGAGCGAUUCCUUUGCCAUUGUUGUUCUGAAACAAUUAUUAGACAUAGAAAAGUGGACAAGUCUCUGAAGUCUCUACGACUGAAAGCGGAAUCUCUUAGCUAUAUUACAUCAAAAUCUGCAGCCCAAAAAAGCUGUGUAAUGUCACUCGAUUGGUGAUUAUAGAAGAGAUUAAUUGGAAAUGCUGCGGCAAAUGGAGUUCAUUUACAUUUACAUAUAUCUGCCUGCAUAUCUUUGAUGUUUUCAAUUGAAUCCAAUGAAAUAUGACAGCCAUGGGAGCCCACAAUAUUUAGUGACAACAAGCCAUUGAGAAAUGCCAUAGAGUAAUGCCCAACCCCUACGCCUAAUCCUACCGCUGGCACUACCCC
This 1060-nucleotide long non-coding RNA is filed under the name Drosophila guanche. The record is from RNAcentral. Lineage: Eukaryota; Metazoa; Arthropoda; Insecta; Diptera; Drosophilidae.